Molecule: ribosomal RNA, 793 nt
Filed under: uncultured bacterium
Lineage: Bacteria
Description: bacterial SSU rRNA
Rfam family: Bacterial small subunit ribosomal RNA
Source: RNAcentral
AGAGUUUGAUCCUGGCUCAGGACGAACGCUGGCGGCGUGCUUAACACAUGCAAGUCGAGCGAGAAACCUUCGGGUUUCUAGCGGCGGACGGGUGAGUAACACGUGGGUAACCUGCCUCAAAGUGGGGGAUAGCCUUCCGAAAGGAAGAUUAAUACCGCAUAACAUUGUAGCUUCGCAUGAAGCAGCAAUUAAAGGAGUAAUCCGCUUUGAGAUGGACCCGCGGCGCAUUAGCUAGUUGGAGAGGUAACGGCUCACCAAGGCGACGAUGCGUAGCCGACCUGAGAGGGUGAUCGGCCACAUUGGAACUGAGACACGGUCCAGACUCCUACGGGAGGCAGCAGUGGGGAAUAUUGCACAAUGGGCGAAAGCCUGAUGCAGCAACGCCGCGUGAGUGAUGAAGGUCUUCGGAUUGUAAAGCUCUGUCUUUUGGGACGAUAAUGACGGUACCAAAGGAGGAAGCCACGGCUAACUACGUGCCAGCAGCCGCGGUAAUACGUAGGUGGCAAGCGUUGUCCGGAAUUACUGGGCGUAAAGGAUGUGUAGGCGGAUAUUUAAGUGAGAUGUGAAAUCCCCGAGCUCAACUUGGGGGCUGCAUUUCAAACUGGGUAUCUAGAGUGCAGGAGAGGAAAGCGGAAUUCCUAGUGUAGCGGUGAAAUGCGUAGAGAUUAGGAAGAACAUCAGUGGCGAAGGCGGCUUUCUGGACUGUAACUGACGCUGAGGCAUGAAAGCGUGGGGAGCAAACAGGAUUAGAUACCCUGGUAGUCCACGCCGUAAACGAUGAGUACUAGGUGUA